Molecule: ribosomal RNA, 253 nt
Filed under: uncultured bacterium
Lineage: Bacteria
Description: partial 16S ribosomal RNA
Rfam family: Bacterial small subunit ribosomal RNA
Source: RNAcentral
UACGAAGGGGGCUAGCGUUGUUCGGAAUUACUGGGCGUAAAGCGAACGUAGGCGGUGUUCCAUGUCAGAGGUGAAAGCCUGGGGCUCAACUCCAGAAUUGCCUUUGAAACGGGAACGCUUGAGUCCGAGAGAGGAUGGCGGAAUUCCUAGUGUAGAGGUGAAGUUCGUAGAUAUUAGGAAGAACACCAGUGGCGAAGGCGGCCAUCUGGCUCGGUACUGACGCUCAGGUUCGAAAGCGUGGGGAGCAAACAGG